This 414-nucleotide ribosomal RNA is filed under the name uncultured microorganism. RNAcentral's name for it is "bacterial SSU rRNA". It matches the Rfam family "Archaeal small subunit ribosomal RNA", at positions 459 to 872 of the family's 1478-position model. The record is from RNAcentral.
CAGCCGCCGCGGUAAUACCGGCGGCCCGAGUGGCGGCCACUAUUAUUGGGCCUAAAGCGUCCGUAGCCGGGCUGGUAAGUCCUCCGGGAAAUCUGGUCGCUUAACGAUCAGACUUCCGGAGGAUACUGCUGGCCUAGGGACCGGGAGAGGCCGAGGGUAUUCCCGGGGUAGGGGUGAAAUCCUGUAAUCCCGGGAGGACCACCUGUGGCGAAGGCGCUCGGCUGGAACGGGUCCGACGGUGAGGGACGAAGGCCAGGGGAGCGAACCGGAUUAGAUACCCGGGUAGUCCUGGCUGUAAACGAUGCGGACUUUGUGUCGGACAAGCUAUGAGCUUGUCCGGUGCCGGAGGGAAACCGUUAAGUCCGCCGCCUGGGGAGUACGGCCGCAAGGCUGAAACUUAAAGGAAUUGGCGGG